CCCUUAGAUGUUCUGGGCUGCACGCGCGCUACACUGAUGCGUUCAACGAGUGUAUAACCUUACCCGAUAGGGUUGGGUAAUCUUUUGAACACGCAUCGUGAUGGGGAUAGAUUAUUGCAAUUAUUAAUCUUCAACGAGGAAUUCCUAGUAAUGAUGAAUCAUCAGUUCAUCGUGAUUACGUCCCUGCCCUUUGUACACACCGCCCGUCGCUACUACCGAUUGAAUGAUUUAGUGAGGACUUCGGACUGGGACCGAUGCGGCUUUCGGGCUGCGUCGGUAUUCUGGAAAGAUGUCCAAACUGUAUCAUUUAGAGGAAGUAAAAGUCGUAACA
Molecule: ribosomal RNA, 331 nt
Filed under: uncultured eukaryote
Lineage: Eukaryota
Description: partial 18S ribosomal RNA
Rfam family: Eukaryotic small subunit ribosomal RNA
Source: RNAcentral